RNAcentral lists this long non-coding RNA (605 nucleotides) under Lathyrus oleraceus (garden pea). Its description in RNAcentral is "Pisum sativum (pea) long non-coding RNA (PSAT_LNC002925)". Lineage: Eukaryota; Viridiplantae; Streptophyta; Magnoliopsida; Fabales; Fabaceae. The record is from RNAcentral.
ACUCCACUUCGUCACCUUCAAUCCAAUAUCACUCUUCAAUCAUCUAACAGAAUCCACAAUGAAAAACAACAAAACAUGCCAUACAAUGACUUAACAGAGAUAAGAAAAACCUCAACCAAGAACCUGCAACAGAAGUAUAUGAGUACCUGAACCGGUGAAUCCACAGCUUCGAUUCCGCUUUCCAUCUUCGAAGCUCCAUUGCGCCACGAGUAUGCUCUCCCUCUUCGCUCUCGGUUUAGCCGAUUCUGCAGAAACUCACGGAACGAACAACCAACCGCACCGUCAAGACAUCGAUUCCGGUAGGUAACCACUCUCUCUUCAAUUUCUUUCAAUUCGCGCACAAGAAAAAGAAACGAAGUUAAUUCAGUCUCAGUCUCGAUGUCGAUUCAAUGUUGAGAGUAUCCGUGAAUCCGAUUGUUGUUCUUGGUUCUUCAUUGGAGAGUUCAUGAAUUCGUGAGGUAAGACGUGGAAUCUAGAGGAGACAAGGAGCGUUAUACGGAUCUGAACAUGCAACGGACUUGUGCGAGUUUCGUCAGAGUCUUCUUGGCCGCACAAUGCGAUGAAUUCCUUCGGAGAAACUCCAGCUCAUUUUCGAUCCAGGCUAG